Molecule: non-coding RNA, 72 nt
Organism: Phrynosoma platyrhinos (Desert horned lizard)
Lineage: Eukaryota; Metazoa; Chordata; Lepidosauria; Squamata; Phrynosomatidae
Source: the annotation of a GenBank genome assembly
GUCAGUGUGGCAUAGUGGUAUCAGUACUGGACUACAACUCUGGAGAUCAGGGUUCAAGUCCCAGCUUGGCCA